RNAcentral lists this small nuclear RNA (22 nucleotides) under Arabidopsis thaliana (thale cress). RNAcentral's name for it is "snRNA_02377". Lineage: Eukaryota; Viridiplantae; Streptophyta; Magnoliopsida; Brassicales; Brassicaceae. The record is from RNAcentral.
CGGCGUUCGAAUUGUAGUCUGG